Molecule: ribosomal RNA, 487 nt
Filed under: Granulicatella adiacens
Lineage: Bacteria; Bacillati; Bacillota; Bacilli; Lactobacillales; Carnobacteriaceae
Description: bacterial SSU rRNA
Rfam family: Bacterial small subunit ribosomal RNA
Source: RNAcentral
GACGAACGCUGGCGGCGUGCCUAAUACAUGCAAGUCGAACGAGAGCGACCGGUGCUUGCACUGGUCAAUCUAGUGGCGAACGGGUGAGUAACACGUGGGUAACCUGCCCAUCAGAGGGGGACAACAUUCGGAAACGGAUGCUAAAACCGCAUAGGUCUUCGAACCGCAUGGUUUGAAGAGGAAAAGAGGCGCAAGCUUCUGCUGAUGGAUGGACCCGCGGUGCAUUAGCUAGUUGGUGAGGUAAUGGCUCACCAAGGCCGUGAUGCAUAGCCGACCUGAGAGGGUGAUCGGCCACAUUGGGACUGAGACACGGCCCAAACUCCUACGGGGGCAGCAGUAGGGAAUCUUCCGCAAUGGACGCAAGUCUGACGGAGCAACGCCGCGUGAGUGAAGAAGGUUUUCGGAUCGUAAAACUCUGUUGUUAGAGAAGAACCAAGUGCUAGAGUAACUGUUAGCGCCUUGACGGUAUCUAACCAGAAAGCCACGG